Molecule: long non-coding RNA, 634 nt
Organism: Venturia canescens
Lineage: Eukaryota; Metazoa; Arthropoda; Insecta; Hymenoptera; Ichneumonidae
Exons: 3
Source: RefSeq, a predicted model, not a curated record
UUUAUGACAAUUGCCCAAAGUGACAUAAAAUUUCUUGGUGUUUGGAGGUAAAAAACCAGAAGAAGCUUCUCAAACUUUUGAGAAGCAAAAUAUGUCGUUGGCCACCCCAUUUUGGUCCGGUAUUUUCUGUAACGAUGCUUGAAUUGGGAUGAGCUCAAGUCGGUGACAGGCGGUGCCUCUACCGAUGUGACCUGGUGCAGCGGAGUAUUAAAGUUAGGAAUUGAAUUUUGGGAACAUCAGAUCACACGGUAAUCUGGUGGAGGGAUGGAGAAAACUGUCAGUCCAACCGGGUAAACCCGUGUGGAUAAACGGAAGUGGAGAAAUGAAGCAAUUAGUAGAACGGAGCCUGACAGCGGACGCCUCAAGAAGAAGCUCUAAUGCUUCUUAGAUUUGGCGUUUGCUCAUUGGCAGGCUGAGCUUACAGAGUUAAACUUGACUUUGUCCGAAGCCAGUGAAAAAAUGAAAAAAUGGAGAGCGAAAUGAGCGAACAAAGGGGAAAGAGAGGGAGAAAAAGAGAGGCGGAAAGCGCCACUGAAACGACGACGAAGGAGCCCAGCAUCCUUCGACCUAGCCCCGUUGGUCCAUUGGAACCGUCUCCGGGGAUGAGUUGCUCUCAUCGACGGACACGAGUCUG